UACGUAGGGUGCGAGCGUUAAUCGGAAUUACUGGGCGUAAAGCGUGCGCAGGCGGUUCUGAAAGUCAGCUGUGAAAGCCCCGGGCUUAACCUGGGAAUUGCGGUUGAAACUACAGGGCUAGAAUCUGGCAGAGGGGGGUGGAAUUCCACGUGUAGCAGUGAAAUGCGUAGAGAUCGGGAGGAACACCAGAGGCGAAGGCGGCGACCUGGACAGUUACUGACACUCAACUACGAAAGCGUGGGGAGCAAACAGG
RNAcentral lists this ribosomal RNA (253 nucleotides) under uncultured bacterium. Its description in RNAcentral is "partial 16S ribosomal RNA". It matches the Rfam family "Bacterial small subunit ribosomal RNA", at positions 524 to 776 of the family's 1533-position model. The record is from RNAcentral.